Molecule: non-coding RNA, 190 nt
Organism: Candidatus Burkholderia humilis
Lineage: Bacteria; Pseudomonadati; Pseudomonadota; Betaproteobacteria; Burkholderiales; Burkholderiaceae
Source: Rfam
UUAUCGGUGCAAAUUCGACCCGGCUAACUCUCGCUCCGGCCGGAAGCACAAGGAGCGGUCCAGGAGGCAACGAGUGGGCUGAAGCACUUCUUGACUUCCGGCGGCUGCGCAUCCGCUUCGAGCGCCUAGCCUUCAUUCACGAAGCUUUCCUCAAGCUCGCCUGCUGCAUCAUCUGCUGGCGAUAACUUCA